This 665-nucleotide ribosomal RNA is filed under the name uncultured Micromonosporaceae bacterium. Its description in RNAcentral is "bacterial SSU rRNA". It matches the Rfam family "Bacterial small subunit ribosomal RNA", at positions 136 to 816 of the family's 1533-position model. The record is from RNAcentral. Lineage: Bacteria; Bacillati; Actinomycetota; Actinomycetes; Micromonosporales; Micromonosporaceae.
CUUUGGGAUAACCCUCGGAAACGGGGGCUAAUACCGGAUAUGACCUUUGGACGCAUGUCUUUUGGUGGAAAGUUUUUCGGCCUGGGAUGGGCUCGCGGCCUAUCAGCUUGUUGGUGGGGUGAUGGCCUACCAAGGCGACGACGGGUAGCCGGCCUGAGAGGGCGACCGGCCACACUGGGACUGAGACACGGCCCAGACUCCUACGGGAGGCAGCAGUGGGGAAUAUUGCACAAUGGGCGGAAGCCUGAUGCAGCGACGCCGCGUGAGGGAUGACGGCCUUCGGGUUGUAAACCUCUUUCAGCAGGGACGAAGCGGAAGUGACGGUACCUGCAGAAGAAGCGCCGGCCAACUACGUGCCAGCAGCCGCGGUAAGACGUAGGGCGCGAGCGUUGUCCGGAUUUAUUGGGCGUAAAGAGCUCGUAGGCGGCUUGUCGCGUCGACCGUGAAAACUUGGGGCUCAACCCCAAGCCUGCGGUCGAUACGGGCAGGCUAGAGUUCGGUAGGGGAGACUGGAAUUCCUGGUGUAGCGGUGAAAUGCGCAGAUAUCAGGAGGAACACCGGUGGCGAAGGCGGGUCUCUGGGCCGAUACUGACGCUGAGGAGCGAAAGCGUGGGGAGCGAACAGGAUUAGAUACCCUGGUAGUCCACGCUGUAAACGUUGGGCGC